AAGAAAGUGGCAGAUAUGGUUAUGCGCCUGGCUUGAAAUCAGUGUAGGGGGGUUCGAAUCCCUCUUUUCUUG
This 72-nucleotide transfer RNA is filed under the name Ichthyomyzon gagei. RNAcentral describes it as "tRNA-Ser". It matches the Rfam family "tRNA". Rfam says of the family: Transfer RNA (tRNA) molecules are approximately 80 nucleotides in length. The record is from RNAcentral. Lineage: Eukaryota; Metazoa; Chordata; Hyperoartia; Petromyzontiformes; Petromyzontidae.